GCCUGGGUGGCUCAGUCGGUCGGGCGUCUGACUUCGGCUCAGGUCAUGAUCUCGCAGUCUGUGAGUUCGAGCCCCGCAUCAGGCU
This 85-nucleotide transfer RNA is filed under the name Felis catus (domestic cat). It matches the Rfam family "tRNA". From Rfam's summary of the family: Transfer RNA (tRNA) molecules are approximately 80 nucleotides in length. Lineage: Eukaryota; Metazoa; Chordata; Mammalia; Carnivora; Felidae. The record is from Rfam by way of RNAcentral.